This 609-nucleotide ribosomal RNA is filed under the name uncultured bacterium. RNAcentral's name for it is "bacterial SSU rRNA". It matches the Rfam family "Bacterial small subunit ribosomal RNA", at positions 66 to 688 of the family's 1533-position model. The record is from RNAcentral.
ACAGAACUCUCCGGAGGGAAGAUAUAUAAACCUAGUGCCGGACGGGUGAGUAACGCGUGGGCAACCUGCCCUGUACCGGGGGACAACAGCCAGAAAUGGCUGCUAAUACCGCAUAAGCCUGCUGUGCCGCAUGGCACAGCAGGGAAAACCACGGUGGUACAGGAUGGGCCCGCGUCUGAUUAGUUAGUUGGCAGGGUAACGGCCUACCAAGACAACGAUCAGUAGCCGGCUUGAGAGAGUGGACGGCCACAUUGGGACUGAGACACGGCCCAGACUCCUGCGGGAGGCAGCAGUGGGGAAUAUUGCACAAUGGGGGGAACCCUGAUGCAGCAAUGCCGCGUGGGUGAAGAAGCACUCCGGUGCGUAAAGCCCUGUCAGCAGGGAAGAAAAUGACAGUACCUGGACAAGAAGCCCCGGCUAACUACGUGCCAGCAGCCGCGGUAAUACGUAGGGGGCAAGCGUUAUCCGGAUUUACUGGGUGUGAAGGGAGCGCAGGCGGCGUGGCAAGUCAGAUGUGAAAACCCGGGGCCCAACCCCGGGAGUGCAUUUGAAACUGCCAUGCUGGAGUGCCGGAGAGGUAAGCGGAAUUCCUAGUGUAGCGGUGAAAUG